GGGCCAUGAGCUCAGUUGGUUAGAGCUACCGGCUCAUAACCGGUUGGUCCAAGGUUCGAGCCCUUGAUGGCCCACCA
RNAcentral lists this transfer RNA (77 nucleotides) under Clostridia bacterium. RNAcentral's name for it is "tRNA-Ile". It matches the Rfam family "tRNA". Rfam says of the family: Transfer RNA (tRNA) molecules are approximately 80 nucleotides in length. Their secondary structure includes four short double-helical elements and three loops (D, anti-codon, and T loops). Further hydrogen bonds mediate the characteristic L-shaped molecular structure. tRNAs have two regions of fundamental functional importance: the anti-codon, which is responsible for specific mRNA codon recognition, and the 3' end, to which the tRNAs corresponding amino acid is attached (by aminoacyl-tRNA synthetases). tRNAs cope with the degeneracy of the genetic code in two manners: having more than one tRNA (with a specific anti-codon) for a particular amino acid; and 'wobble' base-pairing, i.e. permitting non-standard base-pairing at the 3rd anti-codon position. The record is from RNAcentral. Lineage: Bacteria; Bacillati; Bacillota; Clostridia.